This 80-nucleotide transfer RNA is filed under the name Paenibacillus cineris. RNAcentral describes it as "tRNA-Gly". The record is from RNAcentral. Lineage: Bacteria; Bacillati; Bacillota; Bacilli; Caryophanales; Paenibacillaceae.
AUUCCGGUCGGUAGGUUAACCCAAGCGUUUCCAUCGCCUGCAAAUAUCCGUUAAAACGGUGCUGGUUCGCUGCGGCAUGC